CUCUAGCUAGUCUAGUGACUAGGAUCCCUGGUUUUCAUCCAGGCUUCCCAGGUUCAAUUCCUGAGCAGAGA
RNAcentral lists this transfer RNA (71 nucleotides) under Sus scrofa (pig). It matches the Rfam family "tRNA". Rfam says of the family: Transfer RNA (tRNA) molecules are approximately 80 nucleotides in length. Their secondary structure includes four short double-helical elements and three loops (D, anti-codon, and T loops). Further hydrogen bonds mediate the characteristic L-shaped molecular structure. tRNAs have two regions of fundamental functional importance: the anti-codon, which is responsible for specific mRNA codon recognition, and the 3' end, to which the tRNAs corresponding amino acid is attached (by aminoacyl-tRNA synthetases). tRNAs cope with the degeneracy of the genetic code in two manners: having more than one tRNA (with a specific anti-codon) for a particular amino acid; and 'wobble' base-pairing, i.e. permitting non-standard base-pairing at the 3rd anti-codon position. The record is from Rfam by way of RNAcentral. Lineage: Eukaryota; Metazoa; Chordata; Mammalia; Artiodactyla; Suidae.